AGAAUCGGGGAGCAGUCUUUGGUUUCCAGAUUGAGUGGUGGGACUUCUGUGGAAGCUACUCAUCACUUGAGGUUUCCUGUGGUAGUAGUUUGGUGGUUUAGGGGUUCUGUUAGAAUUCUUUGUGUUCACAAUUUCACAGAUCUCCUUUGGUAACUGUUUUGGGGAAGCAGCAGGUUGGGGAGGGGGAGAGGUUCUUCAUCAGCCCUUGAAAAGCACAGAAAAAAUGGUUAAGGAAGUUUGAAUUGAAGAACCAUACCAGCACUCUCAAGCAGUGUGAGGUGUAAAAUUACACACUUCUAGGUGUAAGAUUCUGGCAAAGAUCUCUAAUAAAACAUGUUGCAAAUGCC
This 347-nucleotide long non-coding RNA is filed under the name Rattus norvegicus (Norway rat). RNAcentral's name for it is "long non-coding RNA NONRATT029276". Lineage: Eukaryota; Metazoa; Chordata; Mammalia; Rodentia; Muridae. The record is from RNAcentral.